ACUGUUAAUAAAAAGGAUCGUGUUUCCUGGCAAAUCUUAACAGCAUGCUGGCGAUAAAAAUAAAAACAUUAUGCAGCCAAACGCCGUAACCGGGCCAUUGCUCGUUCUGCGGCUGUAGGAGGAAAUCGUUGACCAGCACAUAAAAAGCCGCAAUGAGGCAUCCGAAGCUGAUCAUCAGGCAGACGAGCAGGUAAGUGCGGGCCACAUUUGGCGAGAAACAGCCCGUUUGGUAAGUGAGGCUGUCGUAAAAAAAGUGCGCUGGGAUGAUGUUGGUGAAGAAGAAUGCGAAGGUGCCAACCAACGCCGGCAGGUAGUAGAGUUGGUUGCCUGCCAUCACGGACUGCACUGAACUGUCGGCAAUAAUCCACCAUCCGGAGAAAAAAAGCACACUCGAAAGGCCGGAUAUGAUGAGGUUGAAUUGCAGACGGUUGAGGUGCAAGUGGGAGGACGAGAAGUGAAACAUCACGGCCAAUAACGCGGAUAAUUUAGCUAGUGUCGAUACUUGAAUUUACUGUCAAUGUCACUGGUUGACUGCCAGGAAAUUCUCCUAUGUCAAAAUGACAGCAAGGAACUUCAACCCACAGAACACCUCUGAACUUCAACCUGAAAGUGUUGCCAGCCGGUUGUUUCAUUCAUUGUGUGGAAGGGCACAAUUUUGGCAAAUUGUCGUGUUAAAUUCCAAGUGCACCGACUAAAUGUGCCGACAAUCCAGCCGCCUCGGGAAACAAUCAUUCGCCAAAUGAUCGCCAACUGACUGCAAAAGCCAAGUGCACUGACUAAAUGUGUAAUGCACGUGAGGACGGGCAUUUGUUUCGGGGCUGAUUAGAUCACAGCUGAAUACUUGCCUCUCCACAUACCCAAACCGUGUAAAUCCAGUUGAAACAGAGUAUGUAUCAGCAAUUCGGCAUUUAGUGGAUAAGAUGCAGUGUGGCGAGAAAAGGGGCGCCGGCUCGGGGCAGCUUGUCGGCGGCGUCACAAGAACGGGCAGCUCGGCAGCGUGCCCGGCGCCAUGGCGGCCCCAAUGAGGUCGGGCCAUCCGCAGGACGGCCAGGGCCACCGAGCGAGGGUGGCGGACUCCUGCAAAGGCGCGACGGCCGCCAGAGGGCCCCACCAGCCAUCAGCCGGUCAGCCGCAGCAGCACCAGCCUAACCAACCAGCAGCCACAGCGGCUAAUUUCGAGUACGAUGAUAAUGAAUGGGACAUUGGCAUAGGUGACCUGAUCAUCGACUUGGACGCGGACAUUGAAAAAACAAACGAGCAGCAGCAGCCGGUGCACGGCACCGGAGCCAAUAUGGCGGCGAAUACCGGCAGUGGGCCCCAAGCGUCCAAGACUGCGGCCACCGCCAAAAUGCACAUUGAGCACUCGGCCACGGCCGACAAAGGGCUCAAAAUGAAAAUCAAACG
Molecule: RNA transcript, 1404 nt
Organism: Dendroctonus ponderosae (mountain pine beetle)
Lineage: Eukaryota; Metazoa; Arthropoda; Insecta; Coleoptera; Curculionidae
Exons: 5
Source: RefSeq, a predicted model, not a curated record